AAAGGGAGACCUAAUUCAGGUAGGAGACGAAAAAAAAGUAGUCGCUACCAAGAAUCAAUCCCAAAAGGUCGGAGCGAGGCGAAAUUGGCUUUCAAACUAGGUUCUGGGUUCAAACAAGACCUGAAUCAGGAACAAGGGCUAUUAGCUCAGGUGGUUAGAGCGCACCCCUGAUAAGGGUGAGGUCCCUGGUUCGAGUCCAGGAUGGCUCACCUGCACAGGUGGCAAAAACAAGAGAAGCGAGGAAUCAGCACCUUAUCUUACUUAUAUAGUAAGAGAGAAUGCUGGCUCUGAGUAAAGAGUCCAGAGGAACCUUGAAAACUGCAUAGAGCUAGGUGAAAAAGCCAAAAAAGAAGACCGCAAG
This 361-nucleotide transfer RNA is filed under the name uncultured Microcystis sp. RNAcentral's name for it is "partial 16S-23S ribosomal RNA intergenic spacer". The stretch from base 136 to 209 matches the Rfam family "tRNA". Lineage: Bacteria; Bacillati; Cyanobacteriota; Cyanophyceae; Chroococcales; Microcystaceae. The record is from RNAcentral.